UUUGAGCGAACCGAUGCGCAGCGGCUCGUCGCGGUCCUGACCGUAGGCGGCGAUCAGCGCCUGCGCCUC
RNAcentral lists this antisense RNA (69 nucleotides) under Nocardia asteroides NBRC 15531. RNAcentral describes it as "ASpks TB sRNA". It matches the Rfam family "ASpks TB sRNA". Lineage: Bacteria; Bacillati; Actinomycetota; Actinomycetes; Mycobacteriales; Nocardiaceae. The record is from Rfam by way of RNAcentral.